AGGUCGGUAGCUCAGUGGACAGAGCGAUCGGUUCCGAACCGAUUGGUCGGUGGUUCAAAUCCACCCCGGCCUG
Molecule: transfer RNA, 73 nt
Filed under: Natronolimnohabitans innermongolicus JCM 12255
Lineage: Archaea; Methanobacteriati; Methanobacteriota; Halobacteria; Halobacteriales; Natrialbaceae
Description: Natronolimnobius innermongolicus JCM 12255 tRNA
Rfam family: tRNA
About the family: Transfer RNA (tRNA) molecules are approximately 80 nucleotides in length. Their secondary structure includes four short double-helical elements and three loops (D, anti-codon, and T loops).
Source: Rfam by way of RNAcentral